This is a long non-coding RNA of Chenopodium quinoa (quinoa), 385 nucleotides long. RefSeq lists it as uncharacterized. NCBI's taxonomy places the organism in Eukaryota, Viridiplantae, Streptophyta, Magnoliopsida, Caryophyllales, Amaranthaceae. The transcript has 2 exons. The record is from RefSeq and is a predicted model, not a curated record.
AGCAAACACGAAACCCCUUUCAAUUCUCAGUUCUCAACCCUUACUAUUCAUCCUCUCUACGACUCUACUUCAUCCCAAAUUCGCAAUGAGGUUUAGAGCGUCAUGAAUGUCAAAAUCAGAUCUUGGUUCUCCUUGCACUGCUCAUUUGCUUGCUGAAUAUCUCUGUUUGCCUUUAAUGGCAUUCAAUUUCAUCUCUUUCGAUCUUUGUCGAUAAUAUUCUGAUUGGAAAAGGCAAUGUAGGUGCAACAAGAGAAUAGGCCGGAACACUUGAGCAUCAAAACAAGCGACUAUAUAAGUCCAUCAUCUAUCUAUUUUGGUUUUUAGUCUUAUAUUAGUGAUGUAUUUAUUUAGGGACAAGCUACUAUAAUAUGCGACGUUUUUUUUA